UGCAACAACCAAACUCUCAUUUGCCAAACCCCCCUCAAUUCAGGAUUUAAUUGCACAAAAUUUGAACCAAUUGAGGGGGACUGCAGAUGUCUAUCGUAGGAUCCCUCGCUUGAAUGCAAUGUUUGAUCCCCUCACGUUGAUCAUAAAGAGUAUAGAAACCGUCACUGAGGAGCACAAUGCCUCUCUUUUGUGGCGAGAUUCUAUGAGGGAACAAUAUGUGGAUGGCUUGAUCCUAUAAGGAGAUCAAGGAUCUCGAGAUAUCCAAAGUUGCUAUCGCCGCAUUGUUUGUGAAUCCCCGCACUGGUCAACCUGUAGACCCCCCAAAAAACAAAACUUUCUAUUAAAUUGUGCACAAAUGAUGGUAUUGUGAAAAACUUUUGGGAUUGUUGGUGAAUGGUUUUCGAUAAACCACCCAACAACAAUCUUGAUGUCCCCUUCUACUUCAUCAAAAAAUUGUAUGCUGAGUUUGUUUGAGGAAAACAUGUGAACUACUUUAACAUCCAACCUUUCUAGGGUGUGGGUUUAGGUAUGCCCUGAAAUAGACCUGGAGUAGUCAGAGUAGUUGAGGGCCCAUAUGUCCCCCCCUCCUCUUGUUGAUCCCCCACCUCCAGUGCAACAUCUAGAUAUCAUCUGUGAGGCGGGGUCACAUACCAUAUCAACUAUUCACUCUUUGAGUAGCCUUUUAGUUUCUCAGGUUGGGGCAGUAGCUUAGCCUACUUUUGAUGGUAGUGGUGCAUCUGGUGGCACUAACACGUCCUCCUCGACUCCACACAUUUGCGUGCUCCAUAGUUGUGUCAUGUGUGGGCACCUAUGCUUGGGUCCAAUUGGACAACCUAUUGAUCCUCCUGCGCACACUGCAGAUUAUGCGGUGCAUGAGAUGCAUAAUGCACCAUAUGUUAUGAUAGAGACUUGAGGAUACCCUGGAGAGUCCUCGCAUGCUAGAGGCGAGGAGGCACCUUCAUCAUACAUUGGCGAUGUAGUGGUAAGAUUUGUAUUUUCACAGUUCAUUCUAUAUUCUAAAUGAAUAUAUAUAAUCUAGAUAAUAUUAAGUACUAAUUUUCAUUUACACGAUCUAUUUAAUAGUUGAUGACAGAGGAGGAGUUGACACAGAUCCAGGAGGGCACCUUGAUGGCCAUUUCAUUUGGCCUUGAUAGCUUUACGAUACAUAUGUUAUUGCACCUAGUCGUUUGUAUUUUAUUGUACAUACAUGCUCAUCAUUUAUAUUGGUAUUAAUUAGAUUAUGUAGUAACUUGCAUGUAUAUCUUAUUUUACUCUUGUAGGGCACAAGUAGCACGAGUGUGAGGCUGUGUGAUUCGGGAUCUGGUAGUGCAGUUGGAGACAAGGGAAAAGUAAUUGAAUGCAAAUAUGAUUGAAUGAAUAGUUUAAAUAACUUAUUAUGAUUAUACACGUCUAGACAUAGAUUGAUAGUUUCACAUACUUGUUGUGUAUAUGUACAAAAAAUUCUUGGCUUCACAUCCUUGUUGACUACACUCACUAUACCUAAAGAAGAAGACGAAGAAGAGAUGCCUCAAGUACAUUUGUGUUUAUUUUAUUUUGUGUUUAGUAGAUAUAAUUCGUUAUUAUCAGUGACAAUUAUAUGCUAACUUGUAUCAAUGCCAUGUUUGUGAACAUAUGUAGGUUGUGUAUGAAAAUAUUGAAAACAUACCUCCUCUACCGAAGACAUACAUCAAGAGCAAAGCCGAAGAGAAAACGCGGAGAUGAGAGCUGAGCAAUGUAGCGAAGAGGAUCGAUUUUGAUGAUCCAUCAGUAGCUUAGGAUGUUAUAGAUAGUUUUGGGAUGCUUACAUGUCUAGUUGGCAUGCAUAUUUUGUAUAUGGACAUACAUUCACGUAUAUAGACAUACAUUUUGUUUGAGUUGA
Molecule: long non-coding RNA, 1879 nt
Organism: Cryptomeria japonica (Japanese cedar)
Lineage: Eukaryota; Viridiplantae; Streptophyta; Pinopsida; Cupressales; Cupressaceae
Exons: 2
Source: RefSeq, a predicted model, not a curated record